UGCCACAACAAAACUUCAUCCUACUAAAACAC
Molecule: non-coding RNA, 32 nt
Filed under: Rattus norvegicus (Norway rat)
Lineage: Eukaryota; Metazoa; Chordata; Mammalia; Rodentia; Muridae
Source: RNAcentral